CGGCAGGCCUAACACAUACAAGUCGGACGGAAACGACAAGAACAAUCACUUCGGUGUGCGUUUUUGGGCGUCGAGCGGCGGACGGGUGAGUAACGCGUGGGAAUCUACCCUUUAGUUGGGGACAACAUAUGGAAACGUAUGCUAAUACCGAAUAUGCUCUACGGAGUAAAGGUGCCCUCUCCUUGGAAGGUAUCGCUAAAGGAUGAGCCCGCGUUAGAUUAGCUAGUUGGUAAGGUAAAGGCUUACCAAGGCGACGAUCUAUAGCUGGUUUGAGAGGAUGAUCAGCCACACUGGGACUGAGACACGGCCCAGACUCCUACGGGAGGCAGCAGUGGGGAAUAUUGCACAAUGAGGGAAACCUUGAUGCAGCCAUGCCGCGUGUGUGAAGAAGGCCCGAGGGUUGUAAAGCACUUUCAAUUGUGAGGAAGAUUAAGUAGCUAAUACCUGCUUAGUUUGACGUUAACUUUAGAAGAAGCACCGGCUAACUCUGUGCCAGCAGCCGCGGUAAUACAGAGGGUGCAAGCGUUAUUCGGAAUUACUGGGCGUAAAGCGCGCGUAGGCGGACUGUUAAGUCGGUUGUGAAAGCCCUGGGCUCAACCUAGGAACUGCAUCCGAUACUGGCAAUCUAGAGUUUAAGAGAGGGAAGUGGAAUUCCAGGUGUAGCAGUGAAAUGCGUA
This 677-nucleotide ribosomal RNA is filed under the name uncultured bacterium. RNAcentral's name for it is "bacterial SSU rRNA". It matches the Rfam family "Bacterial small subunit ribosomal RNA", at positions 40 to 692 of the family's 1533-position model. The record is from RNAcentral.